This 253-nucleotide ribosomal RNA is filed under the name uncultured bacterium. Its description in RNAcentral is "partial 16S ribosomal RNA". It matches the Rfam family "Bacterial small subunit ribosomal RNA", at positions 524 to 776 of the family's 1533-position model. The record is from RNAcentral.
UACGGGGGGGGCAAGCGUUGUUCGGAAUUACUGGGCGUAAAGGGCUCGUAGGCGGCCAACUAAGUCGAACGUGAAAUCCCUCAGCUUAACUGGGGAACUGCGUCCGAUACUGAUUGGCUUGAAUCCGGAAGAGGGAUGCGGAAUUCCAGGUGUAGCGGUGAAAUGCGUAGAUAUCUGGAGGAACACCGGUGGCGAAGGCGGCAUCCUGGGUCGGUACUGACGCUGAGACGCGAAAGCGUGGGGAGCGAACAGG